AUGCUUCCUUAUUUGUUUCAGUUCUAGAUAAGACUGACUAUGCUUUGCUUCUUCUUUUAGCUUGAGAAUGCCAGACUGUCAUCAGAGAUGAAUACUUCUACUGUCAACAGUGCCAGGGAAGAACUGAUGGAAAGCCGCAUGAGAAUUGAGAGCCUUUCAUCCCAGCUUUCUAAUCUACAGAAAGAGUCUAGAGCAUGUUUGGAAAGGAUCCAAGAAUUAGAGGACUUGCUUGCUAAAGAAAAAGACAACUCUCGUCGCAUGCUGACAGACAAAGAGAGAGAGAUGGCGGAAAUAAGGGAUCAAAUGCAGCAACAGCUGAAUGACUAUGAACAGCUUCUUGAUGUAAAGUUAGCCCUGGACAUGGAAAUCAGUGCUUACAGGAAACUCUUAGAAGGCGAAGAAGAGAGAUUGAAGCUGUCUCCAAGCCCUUCUUCCCGUGUGACAGUAUCCCGAGCAUCCUCAAGUCGUAGUGUACGUACAACUAGAGGAAAACGGAAGAGGGUUGAUGUGGAAGAAUCAGAGGCGAGUAGUAGUGUUAGCAUCUCUCAUUCCGCCUCAGCCACUGGAAAUGUUUGCAUC
This 579-nucleotide small RNA is filed under the name Pongo abelii (Sumatran orangutan). RNAcentral's name for it is "retained intron". The record is from RNAcentral. Lineage: Eukaryota; Metazoa; Chordata; Mammalia; Primates; Hominidae.